GAUGAACGCUGGCGGCGUGCCUAAUACAUGCAAGUCGAGCGAACAGACGAGGAGCUUACUCCUCUGACGUUAGCGGCGGACGGGUGAGUAACACGUGGAUAACCUACCUAUAAGACUGGGAUAACUUCGGGAAACCGGAGCUAAUACCGGAUAACAUGUUGAACCGCAUGGUUCAACAGUGAAAGACGGUCUUGCUGUCACUUAUAGAUGGAUCCGCGUCGCAUUAGCUAGUUGGUAAGGUAACGGCUUACCAAGGCAACGAUGCGUAGCCGACCUGAGAGGGUGAUCGGCCACACUGGAACUGGGACACGGUCCAGACUCCUGCGGGAGGCAGCAGUAGGGAAUCUUCCGCAAUGGGCGAAAGCCUGACGGAGCAACGCCGCGUGAGUGAAGAAGGUCUUCGGAUCGUAAAACUCUGUUAUUAGGGAAGAACAAAUGUGUAAGUAACUAUGCACGUCUUGACGGUACCUAAUCAGAAAGCCACGGCUAACUACGUG
Molecule: ribosomal RNA, 497 nt
Filed under: uncultured bacterium
Lineage: Bacteria
Description: partial 16S ribosomal RNA
Rfam family: Bacterial small subunit ribosomal RNA
Source: RNAcentral